AUACGUAGGGGGCGAGCGUUGUCCGGAAUGAUUGGGCGUAAAGGGCGCGUAGGCGGCGCGGGAAGUCUGGAGUGAAAGUCCUGCUUUCAAGGUGGGAAUUGCUUUGGAUACUGCCGCGCUUGAGUGCAAGAGAGGUUAUCGGAAUUCCCGGUGUAGCGGUGAAAUGCGUAGGGAUCGGGAGGAACACCAGUGGCGAAGGCGGGUAACUGGACUGCAACUGACGCUGAGGCGCGAAAGUGUGGGGAGCAAACAGGAUUAGAUACCCUGGUAGUCCACACUGUAAACGAUGAAUGCUAGGUGUAAGAGGUAUCGACCCCUUUUGUGCCGGAGUCAACACAAUAAGCAUUCCGCCUGGGGAGUACGGCCGCAAGGUUGAAACUCAAAGGAAUUGACGGGG
RNAcentral lists this ribosomal RNA (397 nucleotides) under uncultured bacterium. Its description in RNAcentral is "partial 16S ribosomal RNA". It matches the Rfam family "Bacterial small subunit ribosomal RNA", at positions 523 to 918 of the family's 1533-position model. The record is from RNAcentral.